UAGAAAUAGACACAAUAUAUACAUUACAUUACAAUAUGUACAACAUAAAAAGAAACAUACAACAUGAAAAAAACAAAAACAAAGUAUGCUGUGUGUGUCAUCGGUGGGCUGGGGAGACGGGAGAGACAAAAUAGUAUAAAACAGUAUAGGUUAUUUAAAAAAAUAUAUAGAAAAAGUGGGUACGUGUAUUUCUGUUUGGUUUCG
Pelobates cultripes (western spadefoot toad) is the source of this 204-nucleotide non-coding RNA. NCBI's taxonomy places the organism in Eukaryota, Metazoa, Chordata, Amphibia, Anura, Pelobatidae. The record is from the annotation of a GenBank genome assembly.